UCCGAGUUGACCCCGGCAGUCUCCUAUGAGUCCCCACCACCCCGAAGGGCAUGCUGGCAACAUAGGACGAGGGUUGCGCUCGUUGCGGGACUUAACCCAACAUCUCACGACACGAGCUGACGACAGCCAUGCACCACCUGUAUACCGACCACAAGGGGGGCCGUAUCUCUACGGCUUUCCGGUAUAUGUCAAACCCAGGUAAGGUGGGGAUGACGUCGUAUCUCACUG
This 228-nucleotide unclassified non-coding RNA is filed under the name uncultured Actinomycetes bacterium. RNAcentral's name for it is "uncultured actinobacterium contains 16S-23S intergenic spacer region". Lineage: Bacteria; Bacillati; Actinomycetota; Actinomycetes. The record is from RNAcentral.